CUUUUCCUUUCUUUUUUUUUUCUUUUUUUCUUAGAUUUUUACUUAUUUAUUUGAGAGAGAUCACAGAGGGAGAGAGAGAAAAAGCCUCUCUGUUGAGCAAGAGCUGAAUGUGGGGCUCAAUCUUAGGACCCUGAGAUCAUGACCUGAGCUGAAGAAGAUGCUUAACUGACUGAGCCACCCAGAUGCCCCACCACCAGACCAUCUUGAAGACAGGAUCUUUCAACUUUUUUAGCUGCUUCUUCAGGUUUUUCUAGAAAUUGGGAGACAUUUCCCAUGAAAUCUGAAAGUUAUCCCAGCAUCAUCAAAUGGGAAAAUAUGGAUGGAACCCAUAGAAGAUGAUACACAAUAUCAUUCCAGUAUUUUAAAGCAAGUGAAAUAUGGAUAAAAUGAACACCAAGAACAGCAUUGAAUGGCAAAUGAGUUCAUGACAUGUAACAGAGGUAAGCAGAGAAUGUGUUGAACAGUGGGAAGGAAAAGUCCUGUUUUGGUAAAAAA
This 495-nucleotide long non-coding RNA is filed under the name Mustela putorius furo (domestic ferret). RNAcentral describes it as "lncRNA (ENSMPUG00000029381.1)". Lineage: Eukaryota; Metazoa; Chordata; Mammalia; Carnivora; Mustelidae. The record is from RNAcentral.